AUAUGUUUGCAGCUGCGGAUUACAGCAUUGUUUCUUUAAGAAAUAUCGAACUUUUCAAAGGUGCGAGACCUUCUAAAAUAUU
This 82-nucleotide transfer RNA is filed under the name Cytobacillus firmus. RNAcentral's name for it is "Bacillus firmus tRNA-Stop(tta)". The record is from RNAcentral. Lineage: Bacteria; Bacillati; Bacillota; Bacilli; Caryophanales; Bacillaceae.